Molecule: ribosomal RNA, 484 nt
Filed under: uncultured bacterium
Lineage: Bacteria
Description: partial 16S ribosomal RNA
Rfam family: Bacterial small subunit ribosomal RNA
Source: RNAcentral
AUUGAACGCUGGCGGCAUGCUUUACACAUGCAAGUCGAACGGCAGCGCGGGCUUCGGCCUGGCGGCGAGUGGCGAACGGGCGAGUAAUGCAUCGGAACGUGCCCAGUAGUUGGGGAUAGCCCGGCGAAAGCCGGAUUAAUACCGCAUCCGCCCUGAGGGUGUAAGCGGGGAACCGAAAGGCCUUUCGCUAUUGCGGGGGUCGAUGUCGGAUUUGCUAGUUGGUGGGGUAACGGCUUACCAAGGCGACGAUCCGUAGCUGGUCUGAGGGGACGACCAGCCACACUGGGACUGAGACACGGCCCAGACUCCUACGGGAGGCAGCAGUGGGGAAUUUUGGACAAUGGGGGCAACCCUGAUCCAGCCAUGCCGCGUGCGGGAAGAAGGCCUUCGGGUUGUAAACCGCUUUUGUUCGGGAAGAAAUCCUCUGGGCUAAUACCCCGGGGGGAUGACGGUACCGGAAGAAUAAGCACCGGCUAACUACGUG